AGUCGAGAAUAUUCGACAAUGGGCGAAAGCCUGAUCGAGCGACGCCGCGUGCUCGAAGAAGCCCUUCGGGGUGUAAAGAGCUUUUCUGGAGGAAGAACCUUCGGGUGACGGUACUCCAGGAAUAAGGAGAUGCUAAUCACGUGCCAGCAGCAGCGGUAAUACGUGAUCUUCAAGCGUUAUCCGGAUUUAUUGGGCGUAAAGCGUCCGUAGGCGCACCGCCAGGUUUUCUGUUAAACCCUAGGGCUCAACCUUAGAACUGCAGAAAAAACCGGCGGAGUAGAGGGCGUUAGAGGCUGAUGGAACGGUCGGUGUAGGGGUGAAAUCCGUUGAUAUCGACCGGAACACCAAAUGCGAAGGCAUUCAGCUGGGGCGGCCCUGACGCUGAGGGACGAAAGCGUGGGUAGCAAAAAGGAUUAGAUACCCUUGUAGUCCACGCUGUAAACGAUGGACACUAGCUAUUUGAAGUGUCGACCCUUCAAGUAGCGAAGCUAACGCGUUAAGUGUCCCGCCUGGGAAGUACGACGGCAACGUUAAAACUCAAAGGAAUAGACGGGGCUUCACACAAGCGGUGGAUCAUGUGGCUCAAUUCGACAAUAAGCGAAGAACCUUACCAGGGCUUGACAGACUAGUGAAAUCCUGCCGAAAGGCGGGACUCCCACAAGGCACUAGUCCAGGUGCUGCAUGGUUGUCGUCAGCAUGUGCUUUGAAGUGCUCCCUUAAAUGGGGUAACAUGCGCAACCCUCGCUCUAUGUUUUAUUUGUCAUAGGGAACUGCCCGAGAUAAUUGGGAGGAAGGUGAGGAUGACGCCAAAUCAGCAUGGCCCUUUGACGCCCUGGGCUGCACACAUGAUACAAUGGGACUGACAAUGGGCGAAGCCGUAAGGCGGAGGUAAUCCCAUCAAACGGUCUCUAAGUUCGGAUUGAGGUCUGAAAUUCGACCUCAUGAAGUCGGAAUCGCUAGUAAUCGCCAAUCAGCCAUGUGGCGAUGAAUAUGUUCCUGAAGCUUGUACUCACCGCCCGUCACAUUAAGGAAGCCGGCAGUAGCCGAAGUCCCUCGCAAGAAGGCCUAAGCUAAAGUCGGUAACAAGAAUG
This 1091-nucleotide ribosomal RNA is filed under the name uncultured bacterium. Its description in RNAcentral is "bacterial SSU rRNA". It matches the Rfam family "Bacterial small subunit ribosomal RNA", at positions 353 to 1482 of the family's 1533-position model. The record is from RNAcentral.